CACGUAAGGUGCGAGCGUUGUUCGGAAUUAUUGGGCGUAAAGGGCAUGUAGGCGGUCAGGUAAGUCGGGCGUGAAAUGAGUGGGCUCAACCCAAUCGCUGCGCCCGAUACUGCUUGACUUGAGUCAGUGAGGCGUGACCGGAAUUCCUGGUGUAGGGGUGAAAUCUGUAGAUAUCAGGAAGAACACCGGUGGCGAAGGCAGGUCGCGAGCACAUGACUGACGCUGAGGUGCGAAGGUGCGGGGAGCAAAC
This 250-nucleotide ribosomal RNA is filed under the name uncultured prokaryote. RNAcentral's name for it is "partial 16S ribosomal RNA". It matches the Rfam family "Bacterial small subunit ribosomal RNA", at positions 524 to 773 of the family's 1533-position model. The record is from RNAcentral.